RNAcentral lists this long non-coding RNA (1171 nucleotides) under Chrysemys picta bellii (western painted turtle). Its description in RNAcentral is "lncRNA (ENSCPBG00000010628.1)". Lineage: Eukaryota; Metazoa; Chordata; Testudines; Emydidae. The record is from RNAcentral.
GAUAUGUAUUUCGAAAUAUAUGCAUUACAAUCCUUGCGGAGGGCUAACUUUUGCCCUACUCGUUCGUGCAGAUUCAGAUUAAGAAGAAGGAUCACAAGGGAUGGCAAUAAUCAAGAAAUGAAUAGAAGAUGGUCUAUGACUUAUGUUGUAGAGAAGAAUGACUGAAAUGACUGUUUGGAAUUAUUCUGGAAUUAGGCUAGAAUGAGGUCUUCUCUGCCAAUCUAAGGUAAUAUUGCUGAAAGGCAAGAAAUUCGAAGUGAUAUAUGUCCAGCUGACUGUGUGUUGACAGUGUGAGGCCUGGCAAAAGUUCCAUAUGCCUGAAGCCAAAAGAGCCAGGAAACUGGAUAAACCUGGGAUGUCAUCACUCUGUGAGACAUGGGAAACACAAACCCCUUUCUAAAAGGUAUUUAGUCAAUGGGAGCAGAAGAAAUAUUAAAACCUUCUACAUGUCGUCAGGUGAUGUACAGAAUUUACUGACAAUUAAAGUCAAAAGUUCUGUCACAACAAGCUAGCAUCUUGAAGUUGCAGUGAAAACUGCCAAGGAGUUAUUUACCAAUCAACCUAUUAUAGAACGUGAAAUACAAUCACAUGCUAGUUUUCAGUUCAUUUGUAGAGAAAAACUUUCCAACAUCACAAAUCCCAUUAAAAAAAAACCGCACAGUCAGUUUUAAAUGAAAAAGUGGACAAUUAAUCAUAGCUGUUCCAAUCCUGCAAGGGGCUAAGUGCCCUCUUGGAGACAGUGACCGUAAUUCUGAUCCCCCUUAUCCUGGUGUAAAUCAGGCCUAUGGAGUUAGCUUGGUAUAAAAUGAGAGCAGAAUGAGGCCCAGUUAGUAAAGUAACAGGAUUUGGCGUAUAAUAUGCAUCAAAACUAGUGUGAUUUUUCUUUAAGUUGUGUCUGUACAGAAGCAGAAAAUACAUUGAAGUUUGAGGUAUACCUUGUUCUGUCUGACUCUGCUUCCUUGAGGUUAUAUAAAUUAUCUACUCCCUCUUCACUUUAUAUAUCAAUCUGGUCUCUAAAAGAUAUUAUUAUAUAAUAACUUUCACUAAUUGUUUCUCCCCUUUGAGUACUUAAAAACUUGGUUGUGUUGACAAUAGUAAAGGAUAAUGAAUGGUUGUUAAGUUGUCAGCAGUGCAAAAUAAAGUAUUCAGUCUCUGGUAAUAAUUUUGGUGA